GACGUAGGGCGCGAGCGUUGUCCGGAUUUAUUGGGCGUAAAGAGCUCGUAGGCGGUUUGUCGCGUCGUCCGUGAAAACUCACAGCUUAACUGUGAGCUUGCGGUCGAUACGGGCAGGCUAGAGUUCGGUAGGGGAGACUGGAAUUCCUGGUGUAGCGGUGAAAUGCGCAGAUAUCAGGAGGAACACCGAUGGCGAAGGCAGAUCUCUGGGCCGUAACUGACGCUGAGGAGCGAAAGCGUGGGGAGCGAACAGG
RNAcentral lists this ribosomal RNA (253 nucleotides) under uncultured bacterium. RNAcentral describes it as "partial 16S ribosomal RNA". It matches the Rfam family "Bacterial small subunit ribosomal RNA", at positions 524 to 776 of the family's 1533-position model. The record is from RNAcentral.